Molecule: long non-coding RNA, 716 nt
Filed under: Homo sapiens (human)
Lineage: Eukaryota; Metazoa; Chordata; Mammalia; Primates; Hominidae
Description: HSALNT0291426
Source: RNAcentral
ACAGGCAGCUAGCCUCCCCUGGGGCAGGCAGGGACCAGAAGAGCCCCAGAGGGUCUUGUAGAACAGAGGCGGAGGAGGAGAGGACAGAAAGGACAGGGAGACAACCAAGGUAUGAGGUGGGAAGUUCUAACAUUCCUCUUUGUGCUAUUCCGUCCUUCCAGGAAUUACAGGUAGGGGAGAUGCUGGUUUUGGGUGAGCUCUGGAAUUUCAAAGAGGUUACCUUGGGUCUAGAGCAGAUAGGAAACUAUAGAGAAGCAGUGAAGGGCCUGGAGUCAGCCAGACCUAAGCCAGACCUGAGUCCUUUCUCUGCUGCUCAUGGUAGCUCUUGACCAUGGGCACUUGAUGUCAACUCUUUGAGCCUCCAUUUCCUUGUCCUGUAGAAUGGGGUAAUAAUAGGACUUUAGAAGAUUGUUGUGAAGGUUUACUGGAGAAAAGAAAAAUGUGUAAGAAACACUUUACUUGGUGCCUGGUCCAUAUUUGCCAGCUCUUGGUUGUUAGUUCAAGCUGAGCAGAAGCACCCACAUGCAGAAGGAUUUGACAGUUCUGGACCUGGGCCUCAGUCUACUUUGCAUUAGAGUAAAUUAUGUAUGUCUGUCGUGAUUAUAGUUAGAAGCUCCCAGAGGGUUGGAAACUCCAAGCUCAGAUACCUCAAAUACUAGGUAAUUGUGUUUUGAGUUGCACUAAAUUUAAUUCCUCCUUUAAACCAGUAAUUUCAG